Molecule: non-coding RNA, 156 nt
Filed under: Sulfitobacter sabulilitoris
Lineage: Bacteria; Pseudomonadati; Pseudomonadota; Alphaproteobacteria; Rhodobacterales; Roseobacteraceae
Description: 6S / SsrS RNA
Rfam family: 6S / SsrS RNA
About the family: E. coli 6S RNA was the first non coding RNA to be sequenced, but its function was unknown until recently. It consists of 184 nucleotides that fold into an extended hairpin structure with a large single-stranded internal bulge.
Source: Rfam by way of RNAcentral
ACGGUUCUGCCCCUCUCGUGACUGGUUACAUUCCAGUGGCCUUAAGCAAUUCCGAGGGAGCUGGCUCUGCAUGGAUCCUGGUUCAUGUACCUGGCGCCCACCUGUACAUACAGGUCCUCGGGAAUAUACAACUAAAACGGUUGUGGUGGUUCCGUC